RNAcentral lists this long non-coding RNA (1361 nucleotides) under Mytilus galloprovincialis (Mediterranean mussel). Lineage: Eukaryota; Metazoa; Mollusca; Bivalvia; Mytilida; Mytilidae. The record is from RNAcentral.
UUUUAUGUAUUGUUUAUUAAGUCUUUCCACUUUUCUGUGGAAAGACUUAUUGUAUUUCUUCUGAUUAUUAAGUCUUUCCACUUUUCUGUGGAAAGACUUAUUGUAUUUCUUCUGAUUAUUAGGUCUUUCCACUUUUCUGUGGAAAGACCUAUUGUAUUUGUUCUGAUUAUUAUUAUUAUUAUUAUUAUUAUUUUUUUUUUUUUUUUUUUUCUUCCGCCAAAUUUUGUUCUUGCGAUAAAUGUUUGUUUCGCAAUAUGUCGCUUAGAUAUUUCUCAUAUGGUAUCGUAUAGUUUAUGCGCUUUUAAAUUUCACCCUGCUAAGGCGAACCAUUUUCUUUGUAAGAGUUAUCUCCCCUUUCACUGUUUAUCAUCAGAGUGCAUCUCCUCCGUAACCGUAGAAAAAUGUGACAAAUUUAUUUUAUAAAAUUGCUCGUUAUAUCCUUCGCAUGAUUUGUCCUAUUUUAACCGAAGCGAUAUGAACACUCCUUAUGAGAGUUAUUCCCCCUUUUGCAUUUGAUAUUAGUAAUAUGCAUUUCUAACUGGUAAACCAUAGGUAAUAGAGACCUAGGGUCUUUUGAUUUAAGGUCCUUGGUCCAAAAAAAUGAAAAUUAGGUCAAGGUCAAAGGUCAAGGUCAUAUUCUAAAUUUUGAUUUUGGCUUAUUUUCACUCAUUUUCAUUAACCUUAUCAGAUAUCGACAAAUUAUUUUUACUAAAUUGUUAGUUGCGACAUGUCGUAACAUAAUAAUUUUGGUUGAAAGGGUGCGUAGACAAUAAAUGGGAGUUUUAGCCCCUACCACAUCUAAAAUUAUGCGUAAAGUGAUAUUACUUAUUAACCAUACAUAUUAGAGACCUAGGGUCUUUUGAUUUGAGACCCUCAGUUUGUGACCUUGAAAUUGAGGUCAAGGUCAUAGGUAAAUUUGGCGUUUUAGAUUAUGACCUUUGGUUAAAAUUCAUAUCUAUACAUCAUAAAGCCAUAGGAACUGACAUUUUAGACUGAUUUUUAAUAUUUUAAUAUCAAAAUAGAUAUUUACUGGUGGAAAGACCUUCAAUUGUUCUCUGAACAAUUGGUUUUUAAUUAUUAUUAUUAUUAUUAUUUUUUUUUUUUUUUCCCGCCAACUUUUGUUCUUGCGAUAAAUGUUUGUUUCGCAAUAUGUCGCUUAGAUAUUUCUCAUAUUGUAUCGUAUAGUUUAUGCGCUUUUAAAUUUCACCCUGCUAAGCCGAACCAUUUUCUUUGUAAGAGUUAUCUCCCUAUUCACUGUUUAUCAUCAGAGUGUGCAUCUCCUUCGUAACAAAAAAAGAUAGCGACAAAAUUCUUUUACAAAUUGUUCGUUACAUCCUCAGUAAUUUUUGGCGUAUUUGGAU